Molecule: non-coding RNA, 118 nt
Organism: Triticum aestivum (bread wheat)
Lineage: Eukaryota; Viridiplantae; Streptophyta; Magnoliopsida; Poales; Poaceae
Source: Rfam
AUAGUACUCCCUCCGUCCCAAAAUUCCUGUCUUAGAUUCGUCUAAAUACGGAUGUAUUUUGAUACAUCCGUAUCUAGACAAAUCUAAGACAAGAAUUUUGGGACGGAGGGAGUAGAAA